RNAcentral lists this ribosomal RNA (892 nucleotides) under uncultured bacterium. RNAcentral's name for it is "bacterial SSU rRNA". It matches the Rfam family "Bacterial small subunit ribosomal RNA", at positions 8 to 895 of the family's 1533-position model. The record is from RNAcentral.
AGAGUUUGAUCCUGGCUCAGGAUGAACGCUAGCGGCAGGCCUAACACAUGCAAGUCGAGGGGCAGCACAAAUGAAGCUUGCUUUAUUGGUGGCGACCGGCGCACGGGUGAGUAACGCGUAUGCAACCUGCCCUGUACUGGGGGAUAACCCGGAGAAAUUCGGACUAACACCCCAUAAUGUAAUUAGAUGGCAUCAUUUAGUUAUUAAAGGUUACGGUACGGGAUGGGCAUGCGUUCCAUUAGCUAGUUGGUAUGGUAACGGCAUACCAAGGCGACGAUGGAUAGGGGGCCUGAGAGGGUGAUCCCCCACACUGGUACUGAGACACGGACCAGACUCCUACGGGAGGCAGCAGUGAGGAAUAUUGGUCAAUGGGCGCAAGCCUGAACCAGCCAUGCCGCGUGCAGGAAGACGGUCCUAUGGAUUGUAAACUGCUUUUAUUUAGGAAUAAACCCCCAUACGUGUAUGGGGCUGAAUGUACUAAAAGAAUAAGCACCGGCUAACUCCGUGCCAGCAGCCGCGGUAAUACGGAGGGUGCAAGCGUUAUCCGGAAUCAUUGGGUUUAAAGGGUCCGCAGGCGGGGAAAUAAGUCAGAGGUGAAAUCCGGCAGCUCAACUGUCGCACUGCCUUUGAUACUGUUUUUCUUGAAUUUUAGUGGAGUGGGCGGAAUAUGUCAUGUAGCGGUGAAAUGCUUAGAUAUGACGUGGAACACCGAUCGCGAAGGCAGCUCACUAACUAUGAAUUGACGCUCAUGGACGAAAGCGUGGGUAGCAAAGAGGAUUAGAUACCCUGGUAGUCCACGCCGUAAACGAUGAUUACUCGUUGUUGGGUUUUCGGACUCAGUGACUAAGCGAAAGUGAUAAGUAAUCCACCUGGGGAGUACGAUCGCAAGGUU